Triticum aestivum (bread wheat) is the source of this 1264-nucleotide long non-coding RNA. RefSeq lists it as uncharacterized. The record is from RefSeq and is a predicted model, not a curated record. The transcript has 5 exons. NCBI's taxonomy places the organism in Eukaryota, Viridiplantae, Streptophyta, Magnoliopsida, Poales, Poaceae.
AACAGACGUUGCCGAAGAAGGAGUCUCCGACUACCUCACGCCCGCCGCUGGCCUGCACAUCAGGUCGCCGAGCCCGUACGCCGGUGUGAGCAGCCUGGGCUGCCGGGUGCUCGCCGUCCGGCAGCACACCACGGCGCGACACGGGGUCGUGGAGGCCGAGCUCACCCAGGUCGAGACCAUACGGUGGCAGUAGGAGGAGACUGAACACCAUGGUGGUGUGGGCGCCGAUUGAAAAUCACCAGUGAGUCCUACUUCAACUGCGAUGCAAUAUAAUUUGAUCGAAAAGGGACGGCAUGCUGAGGUGUACAAAGGACAGCUUGCUGAUGGACAGUUUGUGGCAAUUCAAGCUUACUGUAUCCUGAAAUUCAAGCUUAUUGUAUCCUGAUUUAACUGGAGUACAAUGUUGUAGCUUCACUUGUCUUCCAGUCAAAUACUCAUGUACUCCAACUUUAACUGGAGUAUACCCCAACUUAAUCAUAAUCAGUUGUUGCCUGUGGUGCUAUAUUAGUUAUACCAAGUUGAUGGUUUCGUUAAGUUGCAUGUACCCUGAAUUCAAGUAAAUUAAGUUGCCUGUACCAAGUUGAGUAUUUAACUUUUUUUUGAAUAGGAGGAUAACCCCUGGCCUCUGCAUCAGAAUGUUGCGCGGGAGGCCGAUGCGGGCAGGCGCCGCUGGUGGCUCUGCUGGGGCCGCCUUGGCGACGCCUACGCCAAGACAUUCUACCUCGUGUGAAAGAAAGAGAACUCGAGCCAAGGUGAUGGUGAUGGAAAUGAAAGAAAGAAAGAGAAGCUGGUAAGGAGUUCCUACCACAAAGAUGAGCAGAAGCAGGGGAGUUCGCUGGGAUGGAGGCGCUGGUGGCCUCGCCAUGGCCGUUGAGGAGGUGGGGGUAGAGGAGUUGAGCGCUGGCCAGGGCCAGGCGGGGCAGGAGGUGAGCGCUGGUCUGGAGGAGCCCGACAGAGAAGCAGGGACGACGAGGGGCCUGGCGGAGGGCCAAAGAGGAGCGCUGGCAUGGAGGAGCCCGACCGAGGGGCAAAGAGGGGCGCUGUCCUGGAGGAGCCCGACGGAGGGGCCUGGAGCAGCGCUGGCCUCGCGGAUGGAGGAGGAAGACGAUCUGUUUUCAAACUAGGGGUAUUUAUGUACUUUUGUACGUUUUCACCUGGUCGGAGAGAACUCCCAACGACAAUUAUUUCGGAACGGAGGGAGUACAUGCUAUUGACUUUAUUCAGCGGUGACAAUUCAAGGAAGAAAGCUAUUUUAUCUUUUCAA